AGCGAGUAUAACGCGUGACGUCGUGCUCUGCUGUCAAUUUUUCUCGAAUAAUUAAAACGUGCGCGAGUUUACGACUUUUCACGUAUGUACGUUCGUAACUGUCCUACUGGUGACAUCCAAAAACUUAAACGAUUCGGCAGACUAUUGGCCGAUUGCAGAACAGAGGAUGUGAUUUCGGCGGAAGCAGCUCGGAGAAUCUGAAUCGAGCAGAAUCUCUUGGACGAUCUGACAGAGUUUGCGACCACGCGACAGAUGAUGCAGCUGCCGUACCGGAGGAUUCGGUUCGGGCCGUGUAACGUCGAUUCGAAGAUCUGGAUAGCGGAAUAGCCGACCCCGACUUCGACAACGAUUAGGUUGAUCAGUAGAAUGGAACUUUUCAAGGAUUUACGCACACGCAUGCGUGGCGUGGCGUCGAGGAAGGAAGGAAGGAAGCUAGAAGGGAAGGAGGGUCGACAGUAUCGGAGGUGAAUCUGGGCUGUGAUCGGGGUAGCGCAGGUGCAGGUGCUUCUAGAAACCGGCGACCAAGGGCGGCGAGGGGACCAGAGAGGGCAGCAAGGCGAGGGGUAUAAAGGGGCGUAAAGGAAGCGAAGGCAACGGGCCGCGACCUGCACGCGCCUCUGACGCGCCGAUGCCACCGAUAUCUUCUUCUUAAACUUUCCUAUCCGCUCAUUCAUGCCCGACUAAAUGCCUAUAAUUUCGGGUAUGAUUACAGGGCACCGUAACCAACGCCCCGUGGACUCAUGCUGCCCCGUUCAAGAGGAGAGAAAAAGAGACGGAGAGAGAGGAAAGGAGAGCUCGUUAUGCGAAGGGCCCGACGAAAUUGAAACGGAACGGGUCCCUUUCGACCGGCGGUCGUCCGCUCCUUUGGACGAACCUCGCUGUCUCGCUCCUUUGCGAAGGAAAGUAACCUGUAUAUAAUGACAUAUAAAUCCCUUCAAACCGAUCGAGCCGAUGACAGGUGGUCCCGCGUGAUUAUCGCUAAUUCGCCGUGGCUUGAACAAACAGAGAAAUCGCGUACGACUAUCCAGGUGCUUCCUCGGACGCUGCCUGUCGGCGAAAUGUCGACGAGCUCGCGAAUCGACCGUUUCUACCUCUUGCUCGCGCGAGAGCCUCUACUUCGGCCUCUCCUAAUUGCGAUCCGGUGGUAUAUACGACGUGUUCCGAGUCGAAUACUCAGGAGCGCGCACGAUUCGUUCGGAAGGGUGUGUCGGGGUCCCCUCGCGAGGAUGUUGGCGCAGUUGCAGCGACGAAUCGACUUACUUACUCGUGAAUUACCAAGCUCGUGGAGCUCUCUUCGCGAGUUAUACGUGUGAUCUUUUAAUCCCGAGGGAUAAGCAAUUUCGUGAGACCUCUCCCUCUCUCUCUCUCUCUCUCUCUCUCUCUCUCUCUCUCUCUCUCUCUCUCUCUUGGAGAGGUCAUUGAACUACGUGCUCGCCCGCGCGACUGUUUAUAGUAAACGGUUCAAGUGAGAUGAUACAGCCAGGAAAUUGUAGGAUAAAGAUCGGCGCGCGGAUCACAGCAUGGCGUCCGAUAAUAACGAUGUAAUUGAGAUGCUAAGAAAGUGAAGCCGCGAUGCGCGCGAUCGCCAUGAGCGGCGUAAUUAAAUAUACGUUCCUUGAGCCGCGUGUGUGACGUACGUGCCGCGAUCGUUUUCACGGAAUAAAAUCGCCGCGCCCCGCCGUAUCAUUAUGAUAAUGAUUUCCACACCGGAAUCCCCCCACCUUCUCCCCCUUCUCCCUCCCAUCUCUCCGCUCUGUCCUAUAUGUGUGUGGCGCGGUUUAUUAAAAAGAUAGCUCUCGCGCAAGAGUAUUACCGCGUUUACCCCUGCGGCCGUGCCGCGGAUAAAUGGGAUUCUUCGCCGGUGAGACGAGCCGAGCGCGAAAUGACAGACUGCGCCCCGUACAAAUACCGAAAUUGUCCGGUGGAUCGCGUACUUAAGUGAAACGUGAUUACACGUUCGCCGCUCGCGACGAAUCGGCGUAAGCGCGGAUUUAGCGCGUCCCCGUGGUAUUAUAAUUCGACAUGCGCCCAUCACAUUACGUCAAUUAAUGACCUUCUGCGCGAUGAUCGAGAAAUUUGCGUGAAAAGAGAACGAAAAAAUAAGAAUGUUGGUGCGUUGCGAUUACGGUGCGCCGUUGAUUCUCUUGCGAUUACGACAGACGCCGUCUCGCUCUCUGAUGAGCUGAUCACGAUGAGGUAAUCCCGCAAAGGUUUUGCAUAAGACACAGUCAUCUGUGCGCGUGAUAAAUAAACGAGAAUAAUAGAUGGGCGCCCUGUUGUACUUUUCAUCACAAUGUGACGCUUUGUAAUUUACGAGAAAUAAAGAGACAUUUGCGUGCGAGCGUUCUUUUCCCGCGCUUUUCUUCCUCGCAAACUCGGCUAAUGGACUCGUGUUUCGACCCUUAACUUCGUGCGCCGUGGCGGUGGGUCAAAGCGCAAUCACGCUCCGGUAUAUGAGGGAGCGUGUGUAAG
Molecule: long non-coding RNA, 2472 nt
Organism: Odontomachus brunneus
Lineage: Eukaryota; Metazoa; Arthropoda; Insecta; Hymenoptera; Formicidae
Exons: 5
Source: RefSeq, a predicted model, not a curated record